Molecule: ribosomal RNA, 468 nt
Filed under: uncultured bacterium
Lineage: Bacteria
Description: partial 16S ribosomal RNA
Rfam family: Bacterial small subunit ribosomal RNA
Source: RNAcentral
GACGAACGCUGGCGGCGUGCUUAACACAUGCAAGUCGAACGGAAAGGCCCUGCUUUUGUGGGGUGCUCGAGUGGCGAACGGGUGAGUAACACGUGAGUAACCUGCCCUUGACUUUGGGAUAACUUCAGGAAACUGGGGCUAAUAUCGGAUAGGAGCUCCUGCUGCAUGGUGGGGGUUGGAAAGUUUCGGCGGUUGGGGAUGGACUCGCGGCUUAUCAGCUUGUUGGUGGGGUAGUGGCUUACCAAGGCGUUGACGGGUAGCCGGCCUGAGAGGGUGACCGGCCACAUUGGGACUGAGAUACGGCCCAGACUCCUACGGGAGGCAGCAGUGGGGAAUAUUGCACAAUGGGCGGAAGCCUGAUGCAGCAACGCCGCGUGCGGGAUGACGGCCUUCGGGUUGUAAACCGCUUUCGCCUGUGACGAAGCGUGAGUGACGGUAAUGGGUAAAGAAGCACCGGCUAACUACGUG